RNAcentral lists this ribosomal RNA (476 nucleotides) under Dirofilaria sp. K314. RNAcentral's name for it is "partial small subunit ribosomal RNA". The record is from RNAcentral. Lineage: Eukaryota; Metazoa; Nematoda; Chromadorea; Rhabditida; Onchocercidae.
UAUUUGUUGUCAUAUUACUUUUUUUUUGUUCUUUUUUAUGUUUUUUUUGUAAAAUAUUUUGAUUUUUUGUAUUUUUUUGUAAUAUUUAAAAUUUGGUUUUUGAACUGGAUUAGUACCCAGGUAAUCAAAGUUUAUUAAUUCGGGAGUAAAGUUUUGUUUAAACCGAAAAAAUAUUGACUGACUUUAGAUUUUUCUUUGGAAUAUGUGUUUUUGGAGAGCCCUCUUUUUUGGUAAAUUUUAUUGGCACAUGUAUGAUUGUUUAGUUUUUAUUUUAUUUGUGUUGCUUUUUUUGUUUUUUGCAUUUAAAACAGAUAUAUAUUUGGCUUAUAAAUUUAUUUUUCAUGUGUUACUAUUAUUAAUUUUUUUUGGAUUUGUUUUUUAUUUUAUUUUUGAAAUUGGAAAAGAAAGUAAUUUUUUCUUUAUGUAUUAAUGAAUUUAAUAAAUAAAGUGGUACAAACCAUCCGUCAAUGGCCUAA